CUGGUGGUUGGAUUCUGAGAUUUACGUCAACCAGUUCCAUAUUACUUUAUAUUUCUUUCGAAUUCAAGAUAAUUGAUUAAAAUGAAAGAGUUUUUAUCGCUCAAAAGCGACACUGCCUAUGAUUGGGCAGAUGAAAGUUCCAUUGUGACAUUGAUUCUCACGUGCGACCCACUUUUGACACACCAACACACAAUUUACUGUGUUUUUUUGUUGUGUUUGUGUCUACCCCCCACCCCCCAAAACCACAAUGCCGUCUUGACCCCUUUUUUUUUCCAGAGAAAAUCGAAUCAGAUUCCUUCUGUUGUCCCUCUCUGUUCAGUGUUUUUUCUUGUUUUUUUGGUUUGAUUGAUUUUGAUGUCUUGGUGGGACAUGAUCAUAAUCCUAUGAUUUAUGUGGAACCAGAUUCUUGAUUUGGGGUUUGUGGAUUGGAAGUUGAUGAGUUAAAAGAUGGGAUUUUUGGCUUCUCAAAUAUUGUUCCAAAGGUCAAAACUUUAACUUGGUAUGCUCUUAUAUUAUUUCAGAAACCAGAUUCUUGAUUUGGGUUUUUGGCUGACUUAUAGUGGGAAUCAAUAAGUUGUCUCUGGUAGAUUUAUCAUUUGCUAGUUUAGUUAAAAGGGUGUCUGGAUAUUACAUUUUUGGUUGAUAAUUUGGGGUUUGAUUAGCUUAUGAAUGAAUAUUUUACACUACAUGUUGGCCUUUUCCUUGAUAAGAAUCCCUUGGAUAAUAUUGUGAUGUAGUUUGGAGAUGUAAGUGGAUCAAUUGUAUUGCUUGGACUAUAGCAUUGUUUUCUAGCGGGCCGCUAGUUGUAUUUGUUGUUGUAUUUGAGGGUAUGGAGUACCUUCCUGUUGAGGUGAUUGGGAACAUUUUGUCCCGUCUUGGAGCUGCGCGAGAUGUUGUGAUAGCAUCUUCAACUUGUCAAAAGUGGCGAGAGGCUUGGAGGAAUCAUCUUCAUACACUCAUGUUUAACUCGAAUGACUGGCCUGUUUAUCAUGAGCUCACAAGGAGCAGACUUGAGAUAAUCGUAACUCAGACAAUUUUCCAGACUAAUGGACUGCAUUGCCUUUCGAUCAUCAUGGAUGAUGUCGACGAGUUCUCUGCUGCUCCGGUAAUAGCUUGGCUAAUGUAUACCAGAGAAACGUUACGCCAGUUACAUUACAAUGUCAGGACUACCCCAAACAUUAAUAUACUCGAAAAAUGUGGUCGCCAGAGGCUAGAAGUGUUGGCUCUUGCACACAAUACAAUCACUGGUGUUGAACCUAGUUACCAAAAGUUCCCUUGCUUAAGGUCUCUUUCACUAAGUUAUGUUAGUAUAUCAGCUUUAGAUCUGAGUCUUUUCCUCACAGCAUGCCCGAAAGUUGAGGUCUUGAGUCUUGUUAGUAUAGACAUUGUUAUGUCUGAUCCACAGGCAACGAUGGAGCUGACAAGUAACUCGUUGAAAGAUAUCUAUGUUGAAGCCAUUAGUUUGGAUAAAAUCAUUCUGGAAGCGGAUAGUCUUGAGAAGCUGCAUUUGAAAGAUUGUACACUUGAGGUCUUUGAGCUUGUUAGCAAGGGCUCAUUGAGUCACCUUAAGAUUGAUGAUGUUAGUGUUAUCCAUCUUGAUAUUGGCGAGAGUGCUGAAGAUCUCGAGAUUGUGGAUGUCAGUAAUUUCACAAUCAUGUGGUCCAAGUUCCAUCACAUGAUAGCAAAAUCUUCGAAGCUGAAAAGACUGAGGCUAUGGGGAGUUGUGUUUGACGAUGAGGAUGAGGCUGUGGAUAUUGAGACGAUUUCCGCUUGCUUUCCACAAUUAAGUCAUCUAUCAUUGAGCUAUGAACUAAGAGAGACAGCACUUCAUUAUGGAUCGCAAGAUUCUUUUCAAUUGGAAAAUGUGACCGUCUUGGAGCUUGGAUGGAUGGUCAUUGGCGACCUGUUCUCCCAUUGGGUAGCAGGACUACUGGAAAGGUGCCCUAACCUGAGGAAGUUGGUAAUCUUCGGAGUCGUCUCAGAAACCAAAACACACGAAGAAUGCCAUACGUUAGCCAACUUCACAUCUUUUAUUGUAAAGCUUAUGAGGAAGUAUUUGCAUGUAGAUGUUCAGUUCGAAUAUGAAUAGAUUUUCAACAACUGCUGAUUCAAAAUUUUUCUUCAUCUCGAGAAGGGAAGGAGUGUUAAGAGAAGGUGUUUUGCUUUUUUUGUUUCAUUUUGUCUUUUCAACUUCUGGAUGGUACCUGAUGGGCGUAUAGGACGACAAAUAAGACUCCUGUGAGGAUGUUGCUGUACCGAUUUUUUUUUUAAGGAGGCAUUUGUAUUUGAUUGUUAUUUCAAGAAGGAGAAGCUCUGGCUAGUGAGGACGUAGUAAAAGAACAUGAAUCAUCGGUUUGUUGUAAGUUCCCUUACCAAAUUCUUUGUUGCUCGCAUUAUGUCUGCCUUUGAUUAAAGUUCUUCUGUUAUCAGCAAUUUAUGUGUCUCUUAGUUUUCUUCAUUGUUUAAUAUUACCAUGAGAUGAGUUUAAAUGACGUAGCAUGGUUAGUGAUGAUUCAUAUAUAUAUAUAUAUAUAUAUAUAUAUAUAUAUCUGACCUCAAUUUGUUUGAGACUGAGUCGUUUGGUUAUGUUAUUAGUCUUCUUCACUGCUAAUCCCAAUGUGCUUCUCUAUGACCCCCCCGUCUUCUGUCGAGUCUUAUGGGUAGUUAAAUGGUUCUGCAUUCCUACUGAAACACAUCACAAGUGGAUAUGGAGUAUUCCGCAAGUUGGGUGGACUAAAGGCGGAUCCAGAAUUUUAAAUUUAUGGUUUUGGUUAUAAACCUUUUUGCUUAUUGAGUUCUUAAUAGAUCUGUUAUACAUUACACAAAUACAAUGAUCGUAUUAUUUUGUUGUUGCUAAUGUUCUCUUCUACAUUCUCUUUCAACAUGGCUUCUUCGCUAUUAUAUUUGCUUUACUUGUUUGAUUUUUGAUAUGCUUUACUUGAGCCCAAGGGUUUAUCAGAAACACCUCUUUACCUUCACAAGGUAGGUGUAAGGCUACGUACACAUCACCCUCCUGAACCCCGCUUGUGGGUUAUUCUGUUAUUCUUUAGUAGGUCACAAGUUUUAUGCAGGACAUGGAUGCAAUCAAUGUUCAUACUAAGUCACAUGCGAUAAUUCAACUGCGUUUUGAGAUGUGAAAUUUGUGCAUUUUGGAUUUAGAAUCUAUCUAGGUGAAACUGUACUUACAACGACAACAACAUAUCCCGUGUAAGUCCACAAGUGGGAUCUGGGGAAGGCGAUGUGUGCACGACUUUAUUCAUCUCUACAUUAUGAAGGUAGAAAGACUGAUUUCGAAAGACUGGGUGAAACCGUACUUGGUAACUAAUGUUUGUGCUGUUUUGAGAAACUUAACAUUGAUUGAUUUUUUCCCAUCUAUCUAAGUUUUGGUUUACAAAGUUA
Molecule: RNA transcript, 3399 nt
Organism: Solanum pennellii
Lineage: Eukaryota; Viridiplantae; Streptophyta; Magnoliopsida; Solanales; Solanaceae
Gene name: F-box/LRR-repeat protein At1g67190-like
Exons: 3
Source: RefSeq, a predicted model, not a curated record